UGGGGAAUAUUGCACAAUGGGCGAAAGCCUGAUGCAGCAACGCCGCGUGAGUGAUGAAGGCCUUCGGGUCGUAAAGCUCUUUGAUCAGGGAUGAUAAUGACAGUACCUGAAAAACAAGCCACGGCUAACUACGUG
This 135-nucleotide ribosomal RNA is filed under the name uncultured bacterium. RNAcentral's name for it is "partial 16S ribosomal RNA". It matches the Rfam family "Bacterial small subunit ribosomal RNA", at positions 355 to 507 of the family's 1533-position model. The record is from RNAcentral.